RNAcentral lists this ribosomal RNA (1910 nucleotides) under Triticum aestivum (bread wheat). RNAcentral's name for it is "partial small subunit ribosomal RNA". Lineage: Eukaryota; Viridiplantae; Streptophyta; Magnoliopsida; Poales; Poaceae. The record is from RNAcentral.
UAAAGAAGGAGGAGUGAGAGGUGACGGCGGCGAGUGGAAGCUAAGAAGAGUCUUGGAAGGACGUUCUGAAACAAAGAACCGAAAAGAUGGCCGCGCCAAGAUUAGAGGAGACGCAGAUCUUAAGGUUGAGCAGACCUAGUUAUAAUCCGAAAGUCACGCUUCCAUUUAUAGAGGAGGUGUCCUUACGGCCUUCUACACGAACACACGAUCUCCUGAUGGAACCGACCCUUGACUGUCAGAUCGAAAACUUCUAUGACUUUAUGUUCUCGACGAGGUACCCGUAUGCGUCCUACCACGAUAAACACCGGCGAGUUGGUAGAUGGUAGAAACACCUCUACCAACUUUGUUAACUGGUAGACAUCCGCAACAGGUGUAGUAACUCAAGAGCUAGUGGUGGAGUUCAAUGUUGUAGUGACGGAAACACAUGCAUUCUUCGCCGGUUCUACCGUCGACUCUUCUUCCCUUUAUAGAACUACCUCUCUAUACUCUACCCUUCUGACGACCCCGUUCCCUCGAAACGAUUUCACAUGAUACCAGCAUUAGAGUUCUGAAGUGUCUCGCACCGGUAGUUCCACUAGCUGUUUCUCUUCUAGAAGUUCACACCCGAUACCUAGUUCAUUCCGCUCUCUAUAGACAUUACUUCAACCAUUUUGUAGGUUUGUAACAGGUUGACAUACUCCACUACCGGUGGUUUUGGUUCUAUAAAAAACACGAUCUCAUACACUUCCCCCCGCUCGACAAGUUGUUCCAAGUUGCUCCUUCCGACUUUCUUCUACAACGAGCGUUCAUGAAGGUUGUCGAGUUAUCACGCCAACUGAAGACGGUGUCGGCUCCGCAGAUAGUGGCGCUAAACUUCGGACUUUUAGAAGAAGAACUACUCUUGGCUUUAAAUUUCUAGAGACUGAAACCAAACUCACGUGAACGUCUUACGUUCUCCGUUCUACCCGACGAAGUGUGUUGAACACCAUGGGGACGUAUACAACGAGGCCUUGACUAAUCAUUUUUUCCUAUACUACCACGUUUUCGACUGUAGACCCGAACACCUCAGUAGAACAUACAUGACAACCGACCAAUAGAGGGAAAAGUCCUGUUUAAACUACCUGUACAUAAUCUUCUAAAUGUUUCGUCUUGAGUUUACCGGUUCGACCAAAAGAAGUCUACGGGCCUCCGAAGACUCUGCAUAAGAACUAGGCUUGGGACCAUGUGCCUAGAGGAAAAGUCUCUAGAACCUUUUAAGAACCAAGUCCUGACCGGAACUGAGCCCUGACUAAUCGAUAUUGUGUGGUUGCCUCCUGUAACAACGACAACUGUACCUAGGCUGAACACUAGGUAAGUCAUCGACAUGUUGGCUCUGUUAUGUUCUUCGUUGUCUCGAGUGAUUGAACUUACGAAAACUGUAGUAAAGAGAAAGAAGACCCAAACUAGAGAGACCGUACAAACUCCUAUUCAGGUUCUUUCUCAGUUUUAAGUGUAGAUGGUUGUGUCGACGUUGUUAGUAGUGUUUCGAACUUCUAUAACGUUUCGCGAACGCCGAUUCUGAGUACUUCUCUCUACCACCCAACAACUUCUACGUCUCGAACGUUGGCCCUUCCUUUCCGUAUUACAGGUAUCUAUGGCUCUAUAAAGUCUAACGUGGCUUAAAAGUAGACCACCUUUAGUCCUUCUGGUCACCACUAUGAGAGCUCAUAGUCGUCCAAUUUGUACUAUACUCUGGCCGAAACUUUCUGUAAUAAACCCGAACCGUUCCACUCGUCGGGAUCAUUAUCAUACUGAUGAUUCAUUCGCAUCUUUAACGUUCUUACACAUUAUAAAUGUACAACCUUAGUUAUUACACGAACAGAUUAAAAACAUCCAUCAAAUUACACAAAUGACAGUACAAAAGUAAUACUUUACGAUGAAGACAUAACUGG